Equus caballus (horse) is the source of this 2636-nucleotide long non-coding RNA. The record is from Ensembl. Lineage: Eukaryota; Metazoa; Chordata; Mammalia; Perissodactyla; Equidae.
CUUUACUGUGGUUUCCGUGGGAAGGAACAGGCGAGGCAGGGUAAGCAGGCCUGCGAUGGGCUGGUCUGAACGAUCCCAGCGGCUCUGGGGUGUGGGGGCUGGCACUGGUCGCCUGGCGGCUGGCCCUGGGUGAUCAGUGCAGGGGAGAGUGGCUGUGGAUUGGUUGGUUUGCAUAUGAAGUCAUCCUCUGGUGAGUUGGUGCUUAUCUCUAGAACUAGCUAACUCAGGGAGCGAUGGUCCCUCCCUGACCAGCAAGGCCGCAGAUGUCAGAGUGUCGGGAAUACAGAAGGUGUAGUUAGCACACACCCUAACUGCCGGGUGAUGAGGGCAAGGCUCUUCUCUGACCCUCGGUUUCCUUCUCUCUGAGUGGUGUGGCUGGGGCUCCCGUAGCCUCUUUCGGGGGUAGGGACCUUCCUGACAUCCUUGGAGGUGGACUGCUGUCUGCCCCCAGCUGGCCCUGUGCAGCCCUGUGCUGGGGGAGCAUGCCGGGUCUUGGGGGCUCUGACAUCCGUCAGGCAGGGAGCCGGGCCCUGUUGGUGAGAGGCUGGGAGGGGCUCGAGCGAGUGGGUGAACCAGGAGGGCUUCUUGGGGGUGAUGAAGUUCGGCUUUGGGACCCCAUCGUGGGGGAAGGCGGUCAAGGCGGGUUUUGGAGUCUGGGCCUCGAACAGUGUGUUGGGGGCUGAGUUCUCUUUCAGGCAACCAUCGGGGUUGUGGGAGUUGAAGUUUGGGAGAUGGGCUGCAGCCAGGAUGGGGGCCUUCGACCCACCACGGAGCAGAGGGUGCCCGCCUCCUGGGGUGCAAGCCUCCCCUCCGCUCAUGGGGUGGGGACCUGGGCCUCUCAGUUCCCAGCUCAGCCCGCUGCGGGUACCCCGAGCUGGGCCGAGGUGUCCUGCCACAGAAGUGGCACCGUUGUGGGCUUCGUCCAGUUAGCAGGAAGAAGUUUUGCCCGAGAUACGGUUUGCUUUUUCGGUGUUUUGGUGGUUCUCCUUUUUGCUCAGCCGUGGUCAGCCACAGUAGGCGAGGGGUUGCAUCACGGGGCCACGGGGCCGGCCACAGGUGUCACGCACCACCUAUGCAGACAUCUAGGAUCUGGAUCUUUUUGGGGUGUUGCUUGGGUUCUCAGUUAUUAGCAAACCUUCCUGCUCCCAGGGGCUCCGAAUGACCACCGAUGUCUUCUCUCUCGUGGUUCCACGUUGACCGAGCUGGCUAGUGGGCCCUGUUCCACCUGAUGGUGGCUGUUGGCCUCUGGGGGCUGGGCUGGCUGGAUGUCACCAUCUGGAAUGUCUCUGUCAUGUCUGGAGCCUUGGGGAAAUGGCUGGGCCUCUCCCUCUCCACGUGGCCUCUCCACGUGGCCAUCAGAGCAGGAUGGCCAUGUUCCUUUCAUGGCGACUCAGGCUCCCCAAAGUGCAGAGCCGAAACUGCCGGACCGGACCUUCUAAAGCUCAGGCCCGGAACUGAGCCUGCAUCCUGUCCACCACAUCCCAUUGGUUUGCUGGAGCCCCAGGUCAGCCCAGAUAUGUGUCCGGGGUGGAGGUGGGGACCCCACUAGGGUGUGAACACUGGGAGGGCCCAGUUCAUGGGGCCGUCCUUUCAGACUAGCUGCCACAAAGGGAGCAGAGGGCAGGAGCCCGGAUUGGGGCAGGCCGAGGGGGGAGACCACAUCCACUCAAGCCGGGUGACUGACCGUGGGCAGGUGGCUUUGCCGUCCCAGGUGCCCUUUGUCAUUUGCGCCCCGGGGCAGUCAUAGGUACAGACGCGCUCUGAGCACGCCAGGUUUCAGCUCUCUGUUCCUGCCGGCAGGGAUCACUCUGUCCUGCCAGCUACCCAUCCCGUCGCGUCCCGUCCAGCAGGCCCAGGGAGUCACUUCCAGGAAAUUCCAGCGAAGGUCCAGGUUUAAAAGCGAGGGGUGUUUGGGGAGCCCACGAGGAGGGAGACGCCGAGGGGGUGGCCAAAGGGCCCAGCAUCGGUGAAAUUCUGCUUAUGAUUGUUACAAAUAGGGCUGCUAUGAUCGUUUCUGUAGGAGUCUGUUCCUAUGGUUUUAUUUCUUUUGGGUAAAUCCCCAGGAAUGGAAUCGUGCCAUCCUAUGGCUAAAGGUGGAACCAAGCCAAAUGUCCAUUAAUGGAUGAAUAAACAAAAUAGGGUAUAUCCACACAAUGGAGUAUUAUUCAGCCGUUAAAAAGGAAUGAAGCACGGACACACGCUACAACAUGGGUGAGCCUUGAAAAUACCAUGCUAGACGAAAGAAGCUGGACGCCAAAGGUCACGUGGUGGAUGAUCCCCUUUACGUGAACUCUCCAGAACGGAGGAAAUCUGGAUGCACAAAGUGACACUAGGCUGCGGACACAGAGGGAAGACGGGGUGAGGACGCAGCGAGAAGCUGGCAGCCUGCGAGCCCAGGAGAGAGGCCUCUGGAGAGUGGUGCCGAGCCCUCGGCCCUGGACUUGGAGGCUGCAGAGCUGCGAGAAAACAAUGCCUGCUGUUGGAGCCCCCAGUCGGUGGUAUUUUGUUCCAGCCGCCCAAGCAGACUAAAACGGGUCUUAUAUCUCAAAAGUGGGUUUGAAAAGACAUUUGGUGAAUGGUACUGUGUCUUAGACACUGUUCUGGGUGCUCAGCUUGCAGCAAUAAACAAAAUAGAC